This 936-nucleotide non-coding RNA is filed under the name Trichomonas vaginalis G3. RNAcentral describes it as "Eukaryotic small subunit ribosomal RNA". It matches the Rfam family "Eukaryotic small subunit ribosomal RNA", at positions 1 to 1135 of the family's 1831-position model. Lineage: Eukaryota; Parabasalia; Trichomonadida; Trichomonadidae. The record is from Rfam by way of RNAcentral.
UACUUGGUUGAUCAUGCCAAGGAAGCACACUUAGGUCAUAGAUUAAGCCAUGCAAGUGUUAGUUCAGGUAACGAAACUGCGAAUAGCUCAUUAAUACGCUCAGAAUCUAUUUGGCGGCGACCAACAGGUCUUAAAUGGAUAGCAGCAGCAACUCUGGUGCUAAUACAUGCGAUUGUUUCUCCAGAUGUGAAUUAUGGAGGAAAAGUUGACCUCAUCAGAGGCACGCCAUUCGACUGAGUGACCUAUCAGCUUGUACUUAGGGUCUUUACCUAGGUAGGCUAUCACGGGUAACGGGCGGUUACCGUCGGACUGCCGGAGAAGGCGCCUGAGAGAUAGCGACUAUAUCCACGGGUAGCAGCAGGCGCGAAACUUUCCCACUCGAGACUUUCGGAGGAGGUAAUGACCAGUUCCAUUGGUGCCUUUUGGUACUGUGGAUAGGGGUACGGUUUUCCACCGUACCGAAACCUAGCAGAGGGCCAGUCUGGUGCCAGCAGCUGCGGUAAUUCCAGCUCUGCGAGUUUGCUCCCAUAUUGUUGCAGUUAAAACGCCCGUAGUCUGAAUUGGCCAGCAAUGGUCGUACGUAUUUUUACGUUCACUGUGAACAAAUCAGGACGCUUAGAGUAUGGCCACAUGAAUGACUCAGCGCAGUAUGAAGUCUUUGUUUUCUUCCGAAAACAAGCUCAAUGAGAGCCAUCGGGGGUAGAUCUAUCUCAUGACGAGUGGUGGAAUACUUUGACUCAUGAGAGAGAAGCUGAGGCGAAGGCGUCUACCUAGAGGGUUUCUGUCGAUCAAGGGCGAGAGUAGGAGUAUCCAACAGGAUUAGAGACCCUGGUAGUUCCUACCUUAAACGAUGCCGACAGGAGUUUGUCAUUUGUUAAUGGCAGAAUCUUUGGAGAAAUCAUAGUUCUUGGGCUCUGGGGGAACUACGACCGCAAG